This 490-nucleotide ribosomal RNA is filed under the name uncultured bacterium. RNAcentral describes it as "partial 16S ribosomal RNA". It matches the Rfam family "Bacterial small subunit ribosomal RNA", at positions 30 to 507 of the family's 1533-position model. The record is from RNAcentral.
AUUGAACGCUGGCGGCAGGCCUAACACAAGCAAGUCGAACGGUAACAGGAAACAGCUUGCUGUUUCGCUGACGAGUGGCGGACGGGUGAGUAAUGUCUGGGAAACUGCCUGAUGGAGGGGGAUAACUACUGGAAACGGUAGCUAAUACCGCAUAACGUCGCAAGACCAAAGAGGGGGACCUUCGGGCCUCUUGCCAUCGGAUGUGCCCAGAUGGGAUUAGCUAGUAGGUGGGGUAACGGCUCACCUAGGCGACGAUCCCUAGCUGGUCUGAGAGGAUGACCAGCCACACUGGAACUGAGACACGGUCCAGACUCCUACGGGAGGCAGCAGUGGGGAAUAUUGCACAAUGGGCGCAAGCCUGAUGCAGCCAUGCCGCGUGUAUGAAGAAGGCCUUCGGGUUGUAAAGUACUUUCAGCGGGGAGGAAGGGAGUAAAGUUAAUACCUUUACUCAUUGACGUUACCCGCAGAAGAAGCACCGGCUAACUCCGUG